GGCAUGCUCAUAAACCAUCUCAUUGAAUUAUCCCUGAAUUCUAGAUGAGAUUGAAGCAAACGUGUGUCUUUUUUUCUGGCUUCCCAGCAUCUGAUUCCCCUUCCAGUGGCUGGAGAACAUCCCACCUUCUGAGCCUUGGGGAGAAGCAGAGUGUGCCCUUUCCCUGCCCACUGGAGAAGCUGAAACAACAAAAACUCCCUUCCCUGGCCUCCCUGCAGGUGAGAAAGUGGAGUUCGAAGAUGUCAUCAGCCCAGGUCACACAGAUGGUGGAGACCAGUGUGGAGCCCGGGAGUGGGCUGAGCAGAGCAUCUGGACUUUGAGCUUCCAUCAGACCCUGAGAUAGUCACCUGUCCUGGCUGCCUGGUGACCCUGGUGUGCUAACGUGGCACUUAUCUUGCUCUAUGGAGGCCCCUGGGCCCCCUAAACACCAGGUGGGUGCCUUCAGCCAGCCCCAUACUGACCUGUGAAGCCCAGGUAUUGCUGGCCAACCCACCCCACUCACAGACAGAAGCAGUUCUCCAUCUUUUGGCUUUAGCAGAUCUGCUUCAUUUCUCCUCCCCACAAAGCCUGGACUUUGUUCUGGGGGUAUCCCUGUUUGCAGUGAAGCUUUUUCACUCAGUGCUCAAUCUGAGCCCAACUCCACCCCACAUCUCUGAUUCAUAGACUUUUGUGACUGCCUUGACCAGUAGAGUAUGGCAGAAGAUGCUCUGUAACUUCCCAGGCUAGAUCUAGAAAAUGCCACGCAUUUCUGCCUUGCUCUCCUGCGACAUCCACUCUUAGAACCCAGUUGCUGUGCUAAAAAGAACUCACAGACCACGUGGAGUGGAGCAGAUGGGUCAGUGUCCCAGGUGGCAGCCCGUGUCGGCCUCAGACCUGCACGUGAGGAUGCCCACCAGAGGGUUCCUGCCACCACCGUCAAGUCACCCCAGCCUUAAUCUUCCAGCCGGCGCCUCAGGCAUUAUGGGCAGAGGUAAACUGUCUCCAUGAUGCCCUUUCCAAAUUUCUGACCCACAGAAUCCAUGGCUAUAAUAAAAUGGCUGUCUUAUGUGCUCAAUUUUGGGGUGGUUUGUAGCAUAGCAGUAUAACUAGAACAUCUAGCUCGUGAGAGAACCAGCAAAGAAAGCAAAAAUCACCCCAGCCUAUAAAGGGCCCUGAGGGUGGUGGGACCCAUGGGUGACAGGAAACCAAUCCCUGCACCCCAAGAGGUGGCAGGGCCUCCAAC
This 1222-nucleotide long non-coding RNA is filed under the name Homo sapiens (human). RNAcentral's name for it is "HSALNT0174725". Lineage: Eukaryota; Metazoa; Chordata; Mammalia; Primates; Hominidae. The record is from RNAcentral.